RNAcentral lists this ribosomal RNA (465 nucleotides) under uncultured bacterium. RNAcentral describes it as "partial 16S ribosomal RNA". It matches the Rfam family "Bacterial small subunit ribosomal RNA", at positions 28 to 507 of the family's 1533-position model. The record is from RNAcentral.
GACGAACGCUGGCGGCGUGCUUAACACAUGCAAGUCGAACGGAAAGGCCCUGCUUGCAGGGUACUCGAGUGGCGAACGGGUGAGUAACACGUGGGUGAUCUGCCCUGCACUUCGGGUUAAGCCUGGGAAACUGGGUCUAAUACCGGAUAGGAGCCAUUUUUAGUGUGAUGGUUGGAAAGUUUUUUCGGUGUAGGAUGAGCUCGCGGCCUAUCAGCUUGUUGGUGGGGUAAUGGCCUACCAAGGCGGCGACGGGUAGCCGGCCUGAGAGGGUGGACGGCCACAUUGGGACUGAGAGACGGCCCAGGCGCCUACGGGAGGCAGAAGUGGGGAAGAUUGCACAAUGGGCGCAAGCCUGAUGCAGCGACGCCGCGGGGGGGAUGACGGCCUUCGGGUUGAAAACUCCUUUCGCUAGGAACGAAGCUUUUUGUGACGGUACCUAGAGAAGAAGCACCGGCUAACUACGUG